CAAGAUGGAGAUUGUUGUGGAUUGCCUUUCUAUUCUUGAUUGGGCUGAAUUCAUUUGAACAUUGAACUAUUUGUUGGGCCACCGGGUCUUGGACUUAAGUGAAAGCGUGUUUCUGAAAAAUGCACUUAUUCUCUAAAAUGUGAGAUUAAUUGUUGGCCCUUCAUCUAGCUCAAUCUGGACCGUUGGAUCUGGACGUUUUAACUGGACUAUAAAGUCCUCCCUUG
This 224-nucleotide long non-coding RNA is filed under the name Olea europaea (common olive). Its description in RNAcentral is "long non-coding RNA (OEUR_LNC011391)". The record is from RNAcentral. Lineage: Eukaryota; Viridiplantae; Streptophyta; Magnoliopsida; Lamiales; Oleaceae.